RNAcentral lists this long non-coding RNA (1182 nucleotides) under Panax ginseng (ginseng). RNAcentral describes it as "long non-coding RNA (PGIN_LNC015015)". Lineage: Eukaryota; Viridiplantae; Streptophyta; Magnoliopsida; Apiales; Araliaceae. The record is from RNAcentral.
UAAAACGUAAUCUUCAACUCAUUAUCAUUCACAUUCACAUUCAAAUAUCCACCAAAACGUAUUAUAAGCUAACCAAUUACAAAUAUAAGCUAAUUAAUGUUCCAUAAAUAAUAAACAAUAUAAUUUACAAUACUUAUACAGGCGCAAUAAGAUACUACAAUAUAUACAAAUGUUCUAUAAUAACAUGAAUACAAAUGAACUAUAAACUAGUAAAAGUAUCAUCAUCGGGCGGAGGUGAACGACGAUGCUCUGGUGUAUGGAAAUCAACGUCGUGCGACUGCUCGUCAUCGCCAGUCUGCUCGCCAUCGCCACCCUGUUGAUAGAAUUAAAAAUAUAAAUCAUUAGUCCGUAUAUAUAUAUAUAUAUAUAUAUAUAUAUAUAUAUAUAUAUAUAUGCGUGUGUGUGUGAGAGAGAAUUAACAAGCUAGCCUUAAUUGAAAAAAACAUAAACAAUAAGAAUACCUUAGUAGGUGGAGGCGGACGAAAAGCCUCCUCAAAGAGAGUAAUCAUCAUCCGAAGCAUCUCGGCGCUCCAAGCGUCGAACUGCUCCCGUGAUAAUCAUGUACUCUCUGCAGAGGCCCCUGCUAUAAUAUCUUGAGCAAUCUGGUGAAGACGAGAACUGGAAGGCAACUGCUGACGCCGAAAGACCAGAUCGGUACGGAACCUAUCCGAUACAGCCCCUAUCAGCCGUCGGAAGAUAUCGUCAUCCAAGCCAACGCCCGUAUGAGAUGGUCCGACAUGUGCUCUCGGACGCUGGCGCUGGCUGGAGCUUAUAAAGAGAUACAAAUUCGAUUACUAAUAAUAAUUUAUAUAAUGUGAUAAAUUCAGAUGUGCAAACUAAAGGAAAAGAUUAACCGACGGUGGUGCCUGCUGGUAGAUAGAGAUAGAGAAUUUGGGGACACAAUAGAGAUAGAGAAUUUGGGGUCAGAAGAUGUGCUCUACUCACAAUCAUGUUUAUGGCAAAGAAAGAAAGAGAGAAGAGGAGACUGGUGGUAGAGACAAAUUAAGAUCUAGGCUUUUGUUGCAGUAAGUUAGUUUUAUUCAGGAUAGUCGGGGACUGAAAAUAUGUUUAAGAUAUGAUGGGAAACACUUGGCAUCAUAUAUCAUGGGCACAUAACAGGGACAAAGUAUAGGCUUCUACCACGAUACAUACGUGUAGCAAUUGGUAUAUGGUUUAGAAUUU